Molecule: ribosomal RNA, 497 nt
Filed under: uncultured bacterium
Lineage: Bacteria
Description: partial 16S ribosomal RNA
Rfam family: Bacterial small subunit ribosomal RNA
Source: RNAcentral
GAUGAACGCUGGCGGCGUGCCUAAUACAUGCAAGUCGAGCGAACAGACGAGGAGCUUGCUCCUCUGACGUUAGCGGCGGACGGGUGAGUAACACGUGGAUAACCUACCUAUAAGACUGGGAUAACUUCGGGAAACCGGAGCUAAUACCGGAUAAUAUAUUGAACCGCAUGGUUCAAUAGUGAAAGACGGUUUUGCUGUCACUUAUAGAUUGAUCCUCGCCGCAUUAGCUAGUUGGUAAGGUAACGGCUUACCAAGGCAACGAUGCGUAGCCGACCUGAGAGGGUGAUCGGCCACACUGGAACUGAGACACGGUCCAGACUCCUACGGGAGGCAGCAGUAGGGAAUCUUCCGCAAUGGGCGAAAGCCUGACGGAGCAACGCCGCGUGAGUGAUGAAGGUCUUCGGAUCGUAAAACUCUGUUAUUAGGGAAGAACAAAUGUGUAAGUAACUAUGCACGUCUUGACGGUACCUAAUCAGAAAGCCACGGCUAACUACGUG